CCUACGGGUUGCAGCAGUGGGGAAUAUCGCACAAUGGGCGCAAGCCUGAUGCAGCCAUGCCGCGUGUAUGAAGAAGGCCUUCGGGUUGUAAAGUACUUUCAGCGGGGAGGAAGGCGAUAAGGUUAAUAACCUUGUCGAUUGACGUCACCCGCAGAAGAAGCACCGGCUAACUCCGUGCCAGCAGCCGCGGUAAUACGGAGGGUGCAAGCGUUAAUCGGAUUUACUGGGCGUAAAGCGCACGCAGGCGGUCUGUCAAGUCGGAUGUGAAGUCCCCGGGCUCAACCUGGGAACUGCAUUCGAAGCUGGCAGGCUAGAGUCUUGUAGAGGGGGGUAGAAUUCCAGGUGUAGCGGUGAAAUGCGUAGAGAUCUGGAGGAAUACCGGUGGCGAAGGCGGCCCCCUGGACAAAGACUGACGCUCAGGUGCGAAAGCGUGGGGAGCAAACAGGAUUAGAUACCCUUGUAGUC
This 465-nucleotide ribosomal RNA is filed under the name uncultured bacterium. RNAcentral's name for it is "bacterial SSU rRNA". It matches the Rfam family "Bacterial small subunit ribosomal RNA", at positions 338 to 795 of the family's 1533-position model. The record is from RNAcentral.